RNAcentral lists this unclassified non-coding RNA (19 nucleotides) under Chlamydomonas reinhardtii. RNAcentral's name for it is "small RNA Cre_1219". Lineage: Eukaryota; Viridiplantae; Chlorophyta; Chlorophyceae; Chlamydomonadales; Chlamydomonadaceae. The record is from RNAcentral.
CGAUCCCGUCUGGAAGCGC